RNAcentral lists this unclassified non-coding RNA (520 nucleotides) under uncultured Entrophospora. RNAcentral describes it as "SSU rRNA". It matches the Rfam family "Eukaryotic small subunit ribosomal RNA", at positions 569 to 1087 of the family's 1831-position model. Lineage: Eukaryota; Fungi; Glomeromycota; Glomeromycetes; Entrophosporales; Entrophosporaceae. The record is from RNAcentral.
AGCAGCCGCGGUAAUUCCAGCUCCAAUAGCGUAUAUUAAAGUUGUUGCAGUUAAAAGCUCGUAGUUGAAUUUCGGGAUUGACACAUCGGUCGUGCCUUAAGGGGUAUGAACUGGUGUAGUCAAUUUCUCACCUUCUGGAGAACCGCGAUGCCCUUAAUUGGGUGUCGCGGGGAACCAGGACCUUUACUCUGAAAAAUUGAGUGUUUAAAGCAGGCAUUUUGCUUGAAUACAUUAGCAUGGAAUAAUAAAAUAGGACGGCAUGAUUCUAUUUUGUUGGUUUCUAGGAUCACCGUAAUGAUUAAUAGGGAUAGUUGGGGGCAUUAGUAUUCAAUUGUCAGAGGUGAAAUUCUUGGAUUUAUUGAAGACUAACUACUGCGAAAGCAUUUGCCAAGGAUGUUUCAUUAAUCAAGAACGAAAGUUAGGGAUCGAAGACGAUCAGAUACCGUCGUAGUCUUAACCAUAAACUAUAGCCGACUAGGAAUCAGACGAUGUUAAUUUUUAUGUACUUCGUUUGGCUAAC